This 414-nucleotide ribosomal RNA is filed under the name uncultured bacterium. RNAcentral's name for it is "bacterial SSU rRNA". It matches the Rfam family "Bacterial small subunit ribosomal RNA", at positions 42 to 459 of the family's 1533-position model. The record is from RNAcentral.
UCAGGCCUAACACAUGCAAGUCGAACGGCAGCACGGACUUCGGUCUGGUGGCGAGUGGCGAACGGGUGAGUAAUACAUCGGAACGUGCCCAGUCGUGGGGGAUAACGUAGCGAAAGCUACGCUAAUACCGCAUACGAUCUACGGAUGAAAGCGGGGGAUCGCAAGACCUCGCGCGAUUGGAGCGGCCGAUGGCAGAUUAGGUAGUUGGUGGGGUAAAGGCUCACCAAGCCGACGAUCUGUAGCUGGUCUGAGAGGACGACCAGCCACACUGGGACUGAGACACGGCCCAGACUCUUACGGGAGGCAGCAGUGGGGAAUUUUGGACAAUGGGCGCAAGCCUGAUCCAGCCAUUCCGCGUGCAGGAUGAAGGCCCUCGGGUUGAAACUGCUUUUGUACGGAACGAAAAGGCUCUGG